Molecule: ribosomal RNA, 756 nt
Filed under: uncultured bacterium
Lineage: Bacteria
Description: bacterial SSU rRNA
Rfam family: Bacterial small subunit ribosomal RNA
Source: RNAcentral
UAGUUCCGGGCAGGCCUAACACAUGCAGUCGAGCGCGCCUUCGGGCGAGCGGCGGACGGGUUAGUAACGCGUGGGAACGUGCCCAGAUCUACGGAAUAGCCACUGGAAACGGUGAGUAAUACCGUAUACGCCCUUCGGGGGAAAGAUUUAUCGGAUUUGGAUCGGCCCGCGUUAGAUUAGGUAGUUGGUGGGGUAACGGCCUACCAAGCCUACGAUCUAUAGCUGGUUUUAGAGGAUGAUCAGCAACACUGGGACUGAGACACGGCCCAGACUCCUACGGGAGGCAGCAGUGGGGAAUCUUGGACAAUGGGGGCAACCCUGAUCCAGCCAUGCCGCGUGAGUGAAGAAGGCCCUAGGGUCGUAAAACUCUUUCGCCUGUGAUGAUAAUGACAGUAGCAGGUAAAGAAACCCCGGCUAACUCCGUGCCAGCAGCCGCGGUAAUACGGAGGGGGUUAGCGUUGUUCGGAAUUACUGGGCGUAAAGCGCACGUAGGCGGAUUAGAAAGUUAGAGGUGAAAUCCCGGGGCUCAACCCCGGAACUGCCUUUAAAACUACUAGUCUAGAGUUCGAGAGAGGUGAGUGGAAUUCCGAGUGUAGAGGUGAAAUUCGUAGAUAUUCGGAGGAACACCAGUGGCGAAGGCGGCUCACUGGCUCGAUACUGACGCUGAGGUGCGAAAGUGUGGGGGAGCAAACAGGAUUAGAUACCCUGGGUAGUCCACACCGUAAACGAUGAAUGCCAGUCGUCGGGUAGUAUACU